UCUCUCAUCAGAAAUUCCAGAAUGAAACUCUGCAUAGAUUCCCGAAAAUAAAAAAACCAUAGCCAUCAAGACCUCCUCUCUCUUGCAUCUCGCGCCGUCUCUCUCCCUCCUAUCUCUCUCUCCCGCCGCGUCCUCUCUCUCUCUCCUCUCCAAGCUCUCUCUCUCUCCCUCCUCGUUGAAUCCAAGGCGGUGGUCGCGAGUUGUGGUGGUGGCCGCGAGUUGUUGUUCUCAGAUCUCGUCUCUCUUGUUCUCUUGUUCUGGAUCUGUUCAGAUCUAAUCUUAGGCCUUCACCAUCGUGAACUACGGUUCCGGCUGACAAAAGGGGCUUCCACAGCCUCCAUCGAUCUAUAAACCAGAGCUUUUGCUCUUGGUUUGGAUGAAUCCGUGUGUGAUUUUACUCAAAUCCGUCUUUGGUUCUCUAUUUCGGCACUUUUCUCUUCCCUUCAAGAUUCCAUCGGUGGUAUUUGGGUUGUUUGGUUCAGUUUCAAGGUUAUCUCUGUAUCUCAGGUGGUCUCUCCUUUUCUUAUUGAUCUGGUUACAUGUUCUUUGUGUGCUUCAUGUGGUGUUUCUUCAAAGGUCUGUAGGGGUUGCUCUUCCUUGGGUACUUUUGCAACAGUUUUGAUUUCAGAGUGAUUGUUUUUUUCAUCUUCCGGGUGUUUGGGUUCUCGGACUUCUCUUCAAGAAACUUUGGCCUUACCCUUUUUACAUGUUGCCAGGGAAGGUUGAGUGUUAAAAUCAGUUUCUUUCCUUUCCUUGGUUGUUUAGUCUCCUUCUUCCUCUUCCUCGUGGCUUCCGGUGUGUUUUCAGAACAUAUUAUUGAAGUGCAAUUCUCCCUAAUAAAGUUCGGUGUUUGCUAUGUUUAUCUCUCCUCUUCUCUUUUUGGGUGAUUUUAGUACGUGGGUGUCUUGUAUUUUUGAUCUAGAAUAGCUAUCUAAUUAUAUUGUACCCUAUGUUUCUAAUGGUUCUGUCUUCCAGGGAUUCUUUGGAACUUGUCAAAUAUGCGGAAGGCGAAUACCAAUCUUUGGUUUAAUGCAUAUGAGUCAACGCCCUUACCUCCACAGGAGCAUCCACACCAAGAGAAACAAGUCUUAAGCUCGGAUAAUAUAUGUAUGGUAGAUGGUUCAUAGACCUCUACAUCUCGAUUCAGUGGAUGUGAAUGAGUUUGGAUGGAUAGUUUGGAUAAAAUUCAACUCAUGGGAAUGCAGAACUUAAGAAGGCGAGAGGCUGGUCUACACACAUAAUUGGAAGCACUGAGAUGGUCUACACACAUUUGACAUGUCAGAACUUUGGGACAUACUACAAAGAUCUAAUUGCAAUGCUAAAGAACCCUCAGGCUUAGCCAAGUUUUACAAAAGAAUUGGAGGUGAUACUUACUCUUAAGAUAUGCUUUCCGGACUUGAAGAUUAAUUACAUCCCAAAAGCGAGAAAUGGAAUUGCUGAUUCUUUAGCUAAGUUUGCACAGCCUUUUCGCAGAGAGCUUUGUUAUAUUUGUUUUUCUAUUCUGG
Brassica oleracea var. oleracea is the source of this 1505-nucleotide long non-coding RNA. RefSeq lists it as uncharacterized. The record is from RefSeq and is a predicted model, not a curated record. The transcript has 3 exons. NCBI's taxonomy places the organism in Eukaryota, Viridiplantae, Streptophyta, Magnoliopsida, Brassicales, Brassicaceae.